Molecule: non-coding RNA, 912 nt
Organism: Odocoileus virginianus texanus
Lineage: Eukaryota; Metazoa; Chordata; Mammalia; Artiodactyla; Cervidae
Source: RefSeq, a predicted model, not a curated record
CGUUACAACAUGUUGUCUAUCCAUCCAUCAGUGAAAGUAUCCACGUUUGCUACAGCUCUUGCAUAGAAUCUGGAAAAGGUACACAUGUGAUCUUGACAAAUGACUCAAAAGCAAUACUUCAGGACACUGUAUACUGAUCUGCAGUCUAACCCAGGGCCUGGAGAUGAGGAAAGAAGCAGACACUGACCCUGCCUCCUGGAGACCAACGCUUUCAGCCAUUGAGAGCCCGGUGCUUUUGUAAGCACGGAGGAGAGACGCUGGAGACCAUCCAGAACCAGGCUCUGUGAAACGAAGCCCGAGGCCAAAGAACCACUCCGCACAAUUGAGAGGAGAGAAAAGGAGGCCCUUGAUCGCAGUGAGUCAGACUGUGACAGGGCCCGCUUUGGGGUGGUGGGCAUAGCUUAGCUGACGGAGUGACCGCCCAGGACGUGUGUUACUGAUGCUGUAGAGGCUGACACGUGGCUGCCCAGGUAGGGCUGGGGGAGUGCGUGGGCCAAGCGCACCCGGAGAUGUGGCCGAUAGCCUGGUCUGUCCUCAUUGCUCUGUGUUCUCAUCCGUCUCUGUCUUCAGUAGACAAACACAGCUUUCUUUUUUCUUGAAAGCUUUGAGUUUUUACUUCAAUAUUUCACAUCCCAGUCCUGAGCUGUUCCUGACAAUGAAGCCGAGACCAUGACGUCUCUGAUUCUUCACAGGUGUCUCCAAGCUACAGAAUUUCAGAACCUAAGUGUAUUGGAGCCAAGGCCACAGGGGAAUUUGAGCACAACGUCCAUCCAUGCCUGGUUAGACCUUAUCCUCUCCAUUAGCUCGGCUUCCUCAUUUUUAAGACAACUGUACCUGGGACUUCUCUGGAGUCCAGUGGGUUGAGACUUGGCCUUCCAAUGUAGGGGGUGUGCGUUUGAUCCCUGGUCAGGG